GUCUAUGCCCAUACCAUUGAGCAUGCCUGAUCUCUGAUCUCUGCAGCUAAGCAGGGUCGGACCUGGUUAGUACUUGGAAGGAAGAAAGGGGUGAAGUGACUGCAGCUGUGGACA
This 114-nucleotide ribosomal RNA is filed under the name Erinaceus europaeus (western European hedgehog). The record is from RNAcentral. Lineage: Eukaryota; Metazoa; Chordata; Mammalia; Eulipotyphla; Erinaceidae.